UACGUAGGGUGCGAGCGUUGUCCGGAAUUAUUGGGCGUAAAGAGCUCGUAGGCGGCUUGUCGCGUCGGAUGUGAAAGCCCGGGGCUUAACCUCGGGUCUGCAUUCGAUACGGGCAGGCUAGAGUUCGGUAGGGGAGAUCGGAAUUCCUGGUGGAGCGGUGAAAUGCGCAGAGAUCAGGAGGAACACCCGUAGCGAAGGCGGCACUCUGGUCCGAUACUGACACUGAGGAGCGAAAGCGUGGGGAGCGAACAGG
Molecule: ribosomal RNA, 253 nt
Filed under: uncultured bacterium
Lineage: Bacteria
Description: partial 16S ribosomal RNA
Rfam family: Bacterial small subunit ribosomal RNA
Source: RNAcentral